RNAcentral lists this ribosomal RNA (723 nucleotides) under Acidovorax radicis. Its description in RNAcentral is "bacterial SSU rRNA". It matches the Rfam family "Bacterial small subunit ribosomal RNA", at positions 57 to 775 of the family's 1533-position model. Lineage: Bacteria; Pseudomonadati; Pseudomonadota; Betaproteobacteria; Burkholderiales; Comamonadaceae. The record is from RNAcentral.
GCAAGUCGUACCAAUAACAACAUCUUCGGAUGCUGACGAGUGGCGAACGGGUGAGUAAUACAUCGGAACGUGCCCGAUCGUGGGGGAUAACGAAGCGAAAGCUUUGCUAAUACCGCAUAAGAUCUAAGGAUGAAAGCAGGGGACCGCAAGGCCUUGCGCGAACGGAGCGGCCGAUGGCAGAUUAGGUAGUUGGUGGGAUAAAAGCUUACCAAGCCGACGAUCUGUAGCUGGUCUGAGAGGACGACCAGCCACACUGGGACUGAGACACGGCCCAGACUCCUACGGGAGGCAGCAGUGGGGAAUUUUGGACAAUGGGCGAAAGCCUGAUCCAGCCAUGCCGCGUGCAGGAUGAAGGCCUUCGGGUUGUAAACUGCUUUUGUACGGAACGAAAAGACUCUGGUUAAUACCUGGGGUCCAUGACGGUACCGUAAGAAUAAGCACCGGCUAACUACGUGCCAGCAGCCGCGGUAAUACGUAGGGUGCAAGCGUUAAUCGGAAUUACUGGGCGUAAAGCGUGCGCAGGCGGUUAUAUAAGACAGAUGUGAAAUCCCCGGGCUCAACCUGGGAACUGCAUUUGUGACUGUAUAGCUAGAGUACGGUAGAGGGGGAUGGAAUUCCGCGUGUAGCAGUGAAAUGCGUAGAUAUGCGGAGGAACACCGAUGGCGAAGGCAAUCCCCUGGACCUGUACUGACGCUCAUGCACGAAAGCGUGGGGAGCAAACAG